Molecule: ribosomal RNA, 213 nt
Filed under: uncultured Lactobacillus sp.
Lineage: Bacteria; Bacillati; Bacillota; Bacilli; Lactobacillales; Lactobacillaceae
Description: partial 16S ribosomal RNA
Rfam family: Bacterial small subunit ribosomal RNA
Source: RNAcentral
CCUGGAACCAGAUGCUAAUACCGGAUAACAACAGAUGAUGCCUAUCAACUGUUUAAAAGAUGGUUCUGCUAUCACUCUUGGAUGGACCUGCGGUGCAUUAGCUAGUUGGUAGGGUAACGGCCUACCAAGGCGAUGAUGCAUAGCCGAGUUGAGAGACUGAUCGGCCACAUUGGGACUGAGACACGGCCCAAACUCCUACGGGAGGCAGCAGUA